GGAAUAUUGCACAAUGGGCGAAAGCCUGAUGCAGCGACGCCGCGUGAGGGAUGACGGCCUUCGGGUUGUAAACCUCUUUCGACAGGGACGAAGCGCCAGUGACGGUACCUGUAGAAGAAGCACCGGCCCACUACGUUCCAGCAGCCGCGGUAAUACGUAGGGUGCGAGCGUUGUCCGGAAUUACUGGGCGUAAAGAGCUUGUAGGCGGUCUGUCGCGUCUUCUGUGAAAACUUGGGGCUCAACCUUAAGCUUGCAGGGGAUACGGGCAGACUAGAGUACUUCAGGGGAGACUGGAAUUCCUGGUGUAGCGGUGAAAUGCGCAGAUAUCAGGAGGAACACCGGUGGCGAAGGCGGGUCUCUGGGAAGUAACUGACGCUGAGAAGCGAAAGCGUGGGUAGCGAAC
RNAcentral lists this ribosomal RNA (403 nucleotides) under uncultured bacterium. Its description in RNAcentral is "bacterial SSU rRNA". It matches the Rfam family "Bacterial small subunit ribosomal RNA", at positions 358 to 773 of the family's 1533-position model. The record is from RNAcentral.